RNAcentral lists this microRNA (21 nucleotides) under Ornithorhynchus anatinus (platypus). RNAcentral describes it as "oan-miR-1398-5p". Lineage: Eukaryota; Metazoa; Chordata; Mammalia; Monotremata; Ornithorhynchidae. The record is from miRBase by way of RNAcentral.
CCCCUUUGUCAAUUACACUGC